AUUGAACGCUGGCGGCAGGCCUAACACAUGCAAGUCGAGCGAGCGGCGGACGGGUGAGUAAUGUAUGGGGACUGCCCGAUAGAGGGGGGUAACUCCUGGAAAAGGUAGCUAAUACCGCAUACUAUAGGAUACGCCAUAUGGGAUUAGCUAGUAGGUGAGGUAAUGGCUCACAUAGGCGACGAUCCCUAGCUGGUCUGAGAGGAUGAUAAGCCACACUGGGACUGAGACACGGCCCAGACUCCCACGGAGGCAGCAGUGGGGAAUAUUGCACAAUGGGCGCAAGCCUGAUGCAGCCAUGCCGCGUGUAUGAAGAAGGCCCUAGGGUUGUAAAGUACUUUCAGUAGGGAGGCGUUACCGACAGAAGAAGCACCGGCUAACUCCGUGCCAGCAGCCGCGGUAAUAC
RNAcentral lists this ribosomal RNA (403 nucleotides) under uncultured bacterium. RNAcentral's name for it is "partial 16S ribosomal RNA". It matches the Rfam family "Bacterial small subunit ribosomal RNA", at positions 30 to 526 of the family's 1533-position model. The record is from RNAcentral.